AGCGAACGCUGGCGGCAGGCCUAACACAUGCAAGUCGAACGAACUCUUCGGAGUUAGUGGCGGACGGGUGAGUAACACGUGGGAACGUGCCUUUUGGUUCGGAAUAACUCAGGGAAACUUGUGCUAAUACCGAAUGUGCCCUUCGGGGGAAAGAUUUAUCGCCAUUAGAGCGGCCCGCGUCUGAUUAGCUAGUUGGUGAGGUAACGGCUCACCAAGGCGACGAUCAGUAGCUGGUCUGAGAGGAUGACCAGCCACACUGGGACUGAGACACGGCCCAGACUCCUACGGGAGGCAGCAGUGGGGAAUCUUGCGCAAUGGGCGAAAGCCUGACGCAGCCAUGCCGCGUGAAUGAUGAAGGUCUUAGGAUCGUAAAAUUCUUUCACCGGGGACGAUAAUGACGGUACCCGGAGAAGAAGCCCCGGCUAACUUCGUG
RNAcentral lists this ribosomal RNA (433 nucleotides) under uncultured bacterium. Its description in RNAcentral is "partial 16S ribosomal RNA". It matches the Rfam family "Bacterial small subunit ribosomal RNA", at positions 29 to 507 of the family's 1533-position model. The record is from RNAcentral.